GUUGAACGCUGGCGGAAUGCUUUACACAUGCAAGUCGAACGGCAGCACGGACUUCGGUCUGGUGGCGAGUGGCGAACGGGUGAGUAAUGUAUCGGAACGUGCCCAGUCGUGGGGGAUAACGUAGUGAAAAUUACGCUAAUACCGCAUACGAUCUAUGGAUGAAAGCGGGGGAUCGCAAGACCUCGCGCGAUUGGAGCGGCCGAUAUCAGACUAGGUAGUUGGUGGGGUAAAGGCCCACCAAGCCAACGAUCUGUAGCUGGUCUGAGAGGACGACCAGCCACACUGGAGCUGAGACACGGUCCAGACUCCUACGGGAGGCAGCAGUGGGGAAUUUUGGACAAUGGGCGAAAGCCUGAUCCAGCCAUUCCGCGUGCAGGAUGAAGGCCCUCGGGUUGUAAACUGCUUUUGUACAGAACGAAAAGGUUUCUACUAAUACUAGGAGCUCAUGACGGUACUGUAAGAAUAAGCACCGGCUAACUACGUGCCAGCAGCCGCAGUAA
RNAcentral lists this ribosomal RNA (500 nucleotides) under uncultured bacterium. RNAcentral's name for it is "partial 16S ribosomal RNA". It matches the Rfam family "Bacterial small subunit ribosomal RNA", at positions 28 to 523 of the family's 1533-position model. The record is from RNAcentral.